Nerophis lumbriciformis (worm pipefish) is the source of this 388-nucleotide long non-coding RNA. RefSeq lists it as uncharacterized. The record is from RefSeq and is a predicted model, not a curated record. Lineage: Eukaryota; Metazoa; Chordata; Actinopteri; Syngnathiformes; Syngnathidae.
CACCGAGAGAGGAAGACAGCCUGAGAGAAGACGAGGGGAACCUAUCUGCUCAUCUGUCUGUCCGCCGUCUUCCUCUGGGCGUCCGCAAGCUCUGAGGAUUUCUGGAGUGGAUCGCCAACAAGCAAGACCAUGGGAUAUGAAGAGGCCACAUGACAGAGGAGUCUUCAUCCAGUCAAACUCUCCUGAUUCUCUCGCUGCCAUCUAAUCUCCUCACACCAGUGAUCGUUUGCCUCCUUGGGUGGUUAAACAAUGCAUACUUUUGCAGGAGCUGACUGACCCAACAUUCGGUGACAAACCAACAGGUGUUUAAAUACUGGACCGCACACCCGUCAAUCAACAGCUGACACCCGGAGAUCACCACUUGGACUGGCAUAUCCCUACCUGCAUG